Molecule: ribosomal RNA, 486 nt
Filed under: uncultured Propionibacterium sp.
Lineage: Bacteria; Bacillati; Actinomycetota; Actinomycetes; Propionibacteriales; Propionibacteriaceae
Description: bacterial SSU rRNA
Rfam family: Bacterial small subunit ribosomal RNA
Source: RNAcentral
AGAGUUUGAUCCUGGCUCAGGACGAACGCUGGCGGCGUGCUUAACACAUGCAAGUCGAACGAAAGGCCCUGCUUUGUGGGGUGCUCGAGUGGCGAACGGGUGAGUAACACGUGAGUAACCUGCCCUUGACUUUGGGAUAACUUCAGGAAACUGGGGCUAAUACCGGAUAGGAGCUCCUGCUGCAUGGUGGGGGUUGGAAAGUUUCGGCGGUUGGGGAUGGACUCGCGGCUUAUCAGCUUGUUGGUGGGGUAGUGGCUUACCAAGGCUUUGACGGGUAGCCGGCCUGAGAGGGUGACCGGCCACAUUGGGACUGAGAUACGGCCCAGACUCCUACGGGAGGCAGCAGUGGGGAAUAUUGCACAAUGGGCGGAAGCCUGACGCAGCAACGCCGCGUGCGGGAUGACGGCCUUCGGGUUGUAAACCGCUUUCGCCUGUGACGAAGCGUGAGUGACGGUAAUGGGUAAAGAAGCACCGGCUAACUACGUG